GAUAUAUUUCAAAACUUUAAACACUCUACUACAAUAAUAUCUUAUAAUAUUUUUUACUAUUUUAUAUCUAUAUGUAAAGAAUCCUUUUACAAUAAACAGACUGUUUUUUAUCUCAAGAUUUUCAAUUUGUAAUUUUAGAUGACUUUGUAAUUUUCAAAUGGAUUGCCAACAUACACAAUUCAAAUAGUAAUUGAAAUGCAUUUUUCUUGCUUUUCCAAAAACUCUAUGAAGUUGGAAAAAAUUAAGCUUGGUUUAAUAAUGCCGUCAUGGGGUAGUGGAAGCUUCCAAUUGAUUAUUGAGGUCAAAAGUAAAGGUCACAAGUUUCUGGUUAAUACUUUUGGAAUCAUGUCCAAUGUUUAACAAAUUUGAUUUAUUUUUAAAUGCUUUAUUGGACUGAGAAGAUGUGAAGAUUAGAAUUUGCAUAGCUCUUACAAUAUAUUUGUAUUUAUACAGAGAAAAUAAGAAAUGUUUUCAUUUUUAUCAGUUUAUUCAGAUCUGAGUUGAUUUAAAUUAU
Molecule: long non-coding RNA, 514 nt
Filed under: Mytilus galloprovincialis (Mediterranean mussel)
Lineage: Eukaryota; Metazoa; Mollusca; Bivalvia; Mytilida; Mytilidae
Source: RNAcentral